UGACUUCGGCGAGACUUUGAAAAUCGAUCUAUAAAAUCCACUCCUCUCUUUCCUCUCAUGAUCCUACUUCUGAUUCUUGAUCAAUCACCGGUGACAAGCAUGAAGUUUUCCAUCAAAAUUUCUGAACAAACCACUGUAGAUUUGCCUCAUUGACACAAGGUAACCAACCCCGUCUUUCUUCUGUAUUUAUCCUAGAGUUCCUCGGCUGUUAUCAAUGACUUCAUCGACUCGAUUUUUGCUGAC
RNAcentral lists this long non-coding RNA (243 nucleotides) under Phoenix dactylifera (date palm). RNAcentral describes it as "long non-coding RNA (PDAC_LNC006092)". Lineage: Eukaryota; Viridiplantae; Streptophyta; Magnoliopsida; Arecales; Arecaceae. The record is from RNAcentral.